This 75-nucleotide transfer RNA is filed under the name Polyangiaceae bacterium. RNAcentral describes it as "tRNA-His". It matches the Rfam family "tRNA". Rfam says of the family: Transfer RNA (tRNA) molecules are approximately 80 nucleotides in length. Their secondary structure includes four short double-helical elements and three loops (D, anti-codon, and T loops). Further hydrogen bonds mediate the characteristic L-shaped molecular structure. tRNAs have two regions of fundamental functional importance: the anti-codon, which is responsible for specific mRNA codon recognition, and the 3' end, to which the tRNAs corresponding amino acid is attached (by aminoacyl-tRNA synthetases). tRNAs cope with the degeneracy of the genetic code in two manners: having more than one tRNA (with a specific anti-codon) for a particular amino acid; and 'wobble' base-pairing, i.e. permitting non-standard base-pairing at the 3rd anti-codon position. Lineage: Bacteria; Pseudomonadati; Myxococcota; Polyangiales; Polyangiaceae. The record is from RNAcentral.
GUGGGUGUAGCUCAGUGGUAGAGCGCCGGAUUGUGGCUCCGGUUGUCGCGGGUUCAAUUCCCGUCACUCACCCCA